AAAAAACAGACGAAAUAAUUAAAAUAAAAAUAAAACUAACUCAAUGCAGCAAAACCACCUCCUCUCAUCAUCUGCUUAAACUCAUCAUAAUUAACCAUUCCAUCUCCAUCAAUGUCCACUUUGUUAAUCAUUUGUUUACAAUCCUCUAUGGUUCGUCCCUGUUUUAGCCCUAACGAUGCGAGAACAGAUUUCAAUUCCUCAACACAAAUGAAUCCGUCGCCGUUUUGAUCGAACACAUUGAAUGCCUCACGCAUAUCUUCUUCUUCAUCGCGUUCAUCCAUGAUGGUCUGGUAAAGCGAACCGAACUCAUCUAUGUCAACGCAACCGUCUCCAUUCACAUCGAUUUUCUCGAUCAUCUGGAUUAAUUCCGGAUCUGGUAUGAAUAUCCCCAUAUUCUCUAACGAACUGUUUAAUUCAUUCUUCGUUAUCCGUCCGUCGCCGUUCCGAUCGAAGAUUUGGAAGAUACGUCGGAGUUCGUCUGAGUCCAUUCUCUUCUGAUGCGAUUCAACCGCGUCGGAAACGGAAACCGGCGACUGCUGUGGCGGCGCCGGUGACCGCGAAUGGAUGCGUUUUUGGUGGAACCAAGAUGGAGGAAGGAAGGAGAUGAGUUUUUUUGGGAGUAAGGAGAGGAGGAUUGGGUUGAAGAGAUUGAAAAUGCAACGAGUUUUGAAGAAAAUGGCUGGGAAUUGCAUUUGGUUUUUAGAUUGUAAACUAUUAAGGGGUGGUUGUAGUUUGUUUUGUUGAGAAAAAAUAGGAGACAAAUUAGGAGUAGCUUUUGGGAGAAUAUAUAAAG
Molecule: unclassified non-coding RNA, 793 nt
Filed under: Hevea brasiliensis (rubber tree)
Lineage: Eukaryota; Viridiplantae; Streptophyta; Magnoliopsida; Malpighiales; Euphorbiaceae
Source: RNAcentral